GGGCACCAAUGGAAUUCGGUUCUCUAUACCACAGGAAUGUCACGGCUCCCUCCAAGAAGCUUUGUCCGUUAUCAGCGAAGAGACAAAAGCCCGUCUGGAUGCGGUUGAAGAGUCAAUGAAAGAUAUGAACGAAAAGGUUUCCACUGUAGCCCACAGCUUGCAGGAACAAAGCCGGUAUCUGCAUGCAGCCAACCAGCUACUCUUA
Molecule: long non-coding RNA, 205 nt
Filed under: Dermacentor andersoni
Lineage: Eukaryota; Metazoa; Arthropoda; Arachnida; Ixodida; Ixodidae
Description: uncharacterized LOC126544593
Source: RNAcentral